AACGCAUAUUGCGCUCGAGGCUCCGGCCAAGAGCAUGUCUGCCUCAGCGUCGGGUUAAUAUCACACUCCUUACUCCUGUAUGGGAGUAACCAUAGUGUGGACCUGGUUGUUCCAGCGUGGUGUUCAUAUGAUCCUGUCAAAGGGACUAUGAACAAUCUAACCUGCUGGAUCAACUGAAGUGCAGAGGCUAACCAAGGACCCGCUAAGGGCCGCAAUUGGGUAGGCAUUUUCAAUGCUAUCAUGCUUAAUUGUUGGUCUGGGACUUUGAUUGUGAGCCCUCAAACAGGAACCAUAACCCUUAUUUUCUCGAUCUGAGCUCAGGCAAGAACACCCGCUGAACUUAA
Molecule: unclassified non-coding RNA, 344 nt
Filed under: uncultured fungus
Lineage: Eukaryota; Fungi
Description: partial contains 5.8S ribosomal RNA, internal transcribed spacer 2, and large subunit ribosomal RNA
Source: RNAcentral